RNAcentral lists this long non-coding RNA (267 nucleotides) under Phoenix dactylifera (date palm). Its description in RNAcentral is "long non-coding RNA (PDAC_LNC012717)". Lineage: Eukaryota; Viridiplantae; Streptophyta; Magnoliopsida; Arecales; Arecaceae. The record is from RNAcentral.
UUAAUUUUACUCUUACCUUUCCUACUCGAAGAAUAGCGGUUGUAAGAGGUCGAUCCACAGGGAGGCGAUUGGAGUUGCAUAAAAAUUAGAACGUUCACUCGGAUUUGAAACCGAUUUUUGAAUGAUAAAGGAAAAACAUUACUUCGGUGAUGUGGAAUGAUUCUCCAGUCUAUUAGAGAAUGUUUUCUAUUUGAAAAUAAACAAAGGAAAGAAAGAAAAUUUGCAAUUGAAAUUUGAUGUAGAGUAGAAGUCGAUUUCUAAAGACAG